AUACAAGGCCAUUUACAGGUGAUGGACUAAAGACUGGCUUCUCUUUGUUGCUAUCAUAUUCACUGACGUUGCUAAUACUUUUUCUCCGUGGCUUAGCCUCUCCAAGCAUUGUUAACACAUCCCUCAUGGAUGGUCUAUCCUUGGGGAGCUUAGCAGUGCAAAGAAGUGCUAUCCUAAGGACUAAUUGCAUCUCUUCUUGGACAUGCUUGCUGUUACCUACGCUGUUAUCUAGUGCUUCUUCUAAAGGUCUAUUGUCCCUAAUCUUUCUUCGAAUCCAUUCAACUAUGCCCACAGAUUCUCCAAACUCAGGAUCUAAUGGUCGCUUUCCAGUGAGAAGUUCUAGUAGAACUACUCCAUAGCUGUAAAUG
Molecule: unclassified non-coding RNA, 368 nt
Filed under: Hevea brasiliensis (rubber tree)
Lineage: Eukaryota; Viridiplantae; Streptophyta; Magnoliopsida; Malpighiales; Euphorbiaceae
Source: RNAcentral